RNAcentral lists this ribosomal RNA (497 nucleotides) under uncultured bacterium. RNAcentral describes it as "partial 16S ribosomal RNA". It matches the Rfam family "Bacterial small subunit ribosomal RNA", at positions 899 to 1397 of the family's 1533-position model. The record is from RNAcentral.
ACUCAAAUGAAUUGACGGGGGCCCGCACAAGCGGUGGAGUAUGUGGUUUAAUUCGACGCAACGCGCAGAACCUUACCUGGGUUUGACAUCCCACGACGACUACAGAGAUGUAGUUUUCCCUUCGGGGACGUGGAGACAGGUGCUGCAUGGCUGUCGUCAGCUCGUGUUGUGAAAUGUUGGGUUAAGUCCCGCAACGAGCGCAACCCUUAUCUGUAGUUGGCAUCAUUAAGUUGGCCACUCUGCGGAGACUGCCGAUGUUAAAUCGGAGGAAGGCGGGGAUGACGUCAAGUCCUCAUGGCCCUUACAUCCAGGGCUACACACGUACUACAAUGGUAGAGACAAACCGUUGCGAAGCCGUAAGGUGGAGCUAAUCGGAAAAACACUAUCUUAGUUCGGAUUGAAGUCUGCAAUUCGACUUCAUGAAGUUGGAAUCGCUAGUAAUCGCAGAUCAGCACGCUGCGGUGAAUACGUUCCCGGGCCUUGUACACACCGCCCGU